RNAcentral lists this ribosomal RNA (503 nucleotides) under uncultured bacterium. RNAcentral's name for it is "partial 16S ribosomal RNA". It matches the Rfam family "Bacterial small subunit ribosomal RNA", at positions 30 to 523 of the family's 1533-position model. The record is from RNAcentral.
AUUGAACGCUGACGGCAGGCUUAACACAUGCAAGUCGAGCGGGGUGAUGGUGCUUGCACUAUCACUUAGCGGCGGACGGGUGAGUAAUGCUUAGGAAUCUGCCUAUUAGUGGGGGACAACAUCUCGAGAGGGAUGCUAAUACCGCAUACGUCCUACGGGAGAAAGCAGGGGAUCACUUGUGACCUUGCGCUAAUAGAUGAGCCUCGGUCGGAUUAGCUAGUUGGUGGGGUAAAGGCCUACCAAGGCGACGAUCUGUAGCGGGUCUGAGAGGAUGAUCCACCACACUGGGACUGAGACACGGCCCAGACUCCUACGGGAGGCAGCAGUGGGGAAUAUUGGACAAUGGGGGGAACCCUGAUCCAGCCAUGCCGCGUGUGUGAAGAAGGCCUUAUGGUUGUAAAGCACUUUAAGCGAGGAGGAGGCUCUUUUGGUUAAUACCCAAGAUGAGUGGACGUUACUCGCAGAAUAAGCACCGGCUAACUCUGUGCCAGCCGCCGCCGUAA